UUCUAAACCCCUCCCCAUAUUCACCAUCUCGGUGAAAUCAGAAGGAGCGCUAGCAAUCAUCCGCUCAUAAUAGAAUGAACUCAAGGUCUUCAGAAAGAUCUUGGUCAUUUCCUUCUCUUCUAGCGGAGGCACGAUCUGAAUGAACUCAAGGUCUUCAGAAAGAUCUUGGUCAUUUCCUUCUCUUCUAGCGGAGGCACGAUCUGUGCUGCCACCUCUCGCCACCUCUGGGCAUACUCUUUGAAUGUUU
RNAcentral lists this long non-coding RNA (247 nucleotides) under Lathyrus oleraceus (garden pea). RNAcentral's name for it is "Pisum sativum (pea) long non-coding RNA (PSAT_LNC000095)". Lineage: Eukaryota; Viridiplantae; Streptophyta; Magnoliopsida; Fabales; Fabaceae. The record is from RNAcentral.